UUAAGCGACUAAGCGUACACGGUGGAUGCCCUGGCAGUCAGAGGCGAUGAAGGACGUGCUAAUCUGCGAUAAGCGUCGGUAAGGUGAUAUGAACCGUUAUAACCGGCGAUUUCCGAAUGGGGAAACCCAGUGUGAUUCGUCACACUAUCAUUAACUGAAUCCAUAGGUUAAUGAGGCGAACCGGGGGAACUGAAACAUCUAAGUACCCCGAGGAAAAGAAAUCAACCGAGAUUCCCCCAGUAGCGGCGAGCGAACGGGGAGGAGCCCAGAGCCUGAAUCAGUGUGUGUGUUAGUGGAAGCGUCUGGAAAGGCGCGCGAUACAGGGUGACAGCCCCGUACACAAAAAUGCACAUGCUGUGAGCUCGAUGAGUAGGGCGGGACACGUGGUAUCCUGUCUGAAUAUGGGGGGACCAUCCUCCAAGGCUAAAUACUCCUGACUGACCGAUAGUGAACCAGUACCGUGAGGGAAAGGCGAAAAGAACCCCGGCGAGGGGAGUGAAAAAGAACCUGAAACCGUGUACGUACAAGCAGUGGGAGCACAGAGCAAUCUGUGUGACUGCGUACCUUUUGUAUAAUGGGUCAGCGACUUAUAUUCUGUAGCAAGGUUAACCGAAUAGGGGAGCCGAAGGGAAACCGAGUCUUAACUGGGCGUUAAGUUGCAGGGUAUAGACCCGAAACCCGGUGAUCUAGCCAUGGGCAGGUUGAAGGUUGGGUAACACUAACUGGAGGACCGAACCGACUAAUGUUGAAAAAUUAGCGGAUGACUUGUGGCUGGGGGUGAAAGGCCAAUCAAACCGGGAGAUAGCUGGUUCUCCCCGAAAGCUAUUUAGGUAGCGCCUCGUGAAUUCAUCUCCGGGGGUAGAGCACUGCUUCGGCAAGGGGGUCAUCCCGACUUACCAACCCGAUGCAAACUGCGAAUACCGGAGAAUGUUAUCACGGGAGACACACGGCGGGUGCUAACGUCCGUCGUGAAGAGGGAAACAACCCAGACCGCCAGCUAAGGUCCCAAAGUCAUGGUUAAGUGGGAAACGAUGUGGGAAGGCCCAGACAGCCAGGAUGUUGGCUUAGAAGCAGCCAUCAUUUAAAGAAAGCGUAAUAGCUCACUGGUCGAGUCGGCCUGCGCGGAAGAUGUAACGGGGCUAAACCAUGCACCGAAGCUGCGGCAGCGACACUGUGUGUUGUUGGGUAGGGGAGCGUUCUGUAAGCCUGUGAAGGUGUGCUGUGAGGCAUGCUGGAGGUAUCAGAAGUGCGAAUGCUGACAUAAGUAACGAUAAAGCGGGUGAAAAGCCCGCUCGCCGGAAGACCAAGGGUUCCUGUCCAACGUUAAUCGGGGCAGGGUGAGUCGACCCCUAAGGCGAGGCCGAAAGGCGUAGUCGAUGGGAAACAGGUUAAUAUUCCUGUACUUGGUGUUACUGCGAAGGGGGGACGGAGAAGGCUAUGUUGGCCGGGCGACGGUUGUCCCGGUUUAAGCGUGUAGGCUGGUUUUCCAGGCAAAUCCGGAAAAUCAAGGCUGAGGCGUGAUGACGAGGCACUACGGUGCUGAAGCAACAAAUGCCCUGCUUCCAGGAAAAGCCUCUAAGCAUCAGGUAACAUCAAAUCGUACCCCAAACCGACACAGGUGGUCAGGUAGAGAAUACCAAGGCGCUUGAGAGAACUCGGGUGAAGGAACUAGGCAAAAUGGUGCCGUAACUUCGGGAGAAGGCACGCUGAUAUGUAGGUGAAGUCCCUCGCGGAUGGAGCUGAAAUCAGUCGAAGAUACCAGCUGGCUGCAACUGUUUAUUAAAAACACAGCACUGUGCAAACACGAAAGUGGACGUAUACGGUGUGACGCCUGCCCGGUGCCGGAAGGUUAAUUGAUGGGGUCAGCGCAAGCGAAGCUCUUGAUCGAAGCCCCGGUAAACGGCGGCCGUAACUAUAACGGUCCUAAGGUAGCGAAAUUCCUUGUCGGGUAAGUUCCGACCUGCACGAAUGGCGUAAUGAUGGCCAGGCUGUCUCCACCCGAGACUCAGUGAAAUUGAACUCGCUGUGAAGAUGCAGUGUACCCGCGGCAAGACGGAAAGACCCCGUGAACCUUUACUAUAGCUUGACACUGAACAUUGAGCCUUGAUGUGUAGGAUAGGUGGGAGGCUUUGAAGUGUGGACGCCAGUCUGCAUGGAGCCGACCUUGAAAUACCACCCUUUAAUGUUUGAUGUUCUAACGUGGACCCGUGAUCCGGGUUGCGGACAGUGUCUGGUGGGUAGUUUGACUGGGGCGGUCUCCUCCUAAAGAGUAACGGAGGAGCACGAAGGUUGGCUAAUCCUGGUCGGACAUCAGGAGGUUAGUGCAAUGGCAUAAGCCAGCUUGACUGCGAGCGUGACGGCGCGAGCAGGUGCGAAAGCAGGUCAUAGUGAUCCGGUGGUUCUGAAUGGAAGGGCCAUCGCUCAACGGAUAAAAGGUACUCCGGGGAUAACAGGCUGAUACCGCCCAAGAGUUCAUAUCGACGGCGGUGUUUGGCACCUCGAUGUCGGCUCAUCACAUCCUGGGGCUGAAGUAGGUCCCAAGGGUAUGGCUGUUCGCCAUUUAAAGUGGUACGCGAGCUGGGUUUAGAACGUCGUGAGACAGUUCGGUCCCUAUCUGCCGUGGGCGCUGGAGAACUGAGGGGGGCUGCUCCUAGUACGAGAGGACCGGAGUGGACGCAUCACUGGUGUUCGGGUUGUCAUGCCAAUGGCACUGCCCGGUAGCUAAAUGCGGAAGAGAUAAGUGCUGAAAGCAUCUAAGCACGAAACUUGCCCCGAGAUGAGUUCUCCCUGACCCUUUAAGGGUCCUGAAGGAACGUUGAAGACGACGACGUUGAUAGGCCGGGUGUGUAAGCGCAGCGAUGCGUUGAGCUAACCGGUACUAAUGAACCGUGAGGCUUAACCUU
Molecule: ribosomal RNA, 2903 nt
Filed under: Escherichia coli TW10246
Lineage: Bacteria; Pseudomonadati; Pseudomonadota; Gammaproteobacteria; Enterobacterales; Enterobacteriaceae
Description: bacterial LSU rRNA
Rfam family: Bacterial large subunit ribosomal RNA
Source: RNAcentral